GAUGAACGCUGGCGGCGUGCCUAAUACAUGCAAGUCGAGCGAACAGAUGAGGAGCUUGCUCCUCUGACGUUAGCGGCGGACGGGUGAGUAACACGUGGAUAACCUACCUAUAAGACUGGGAUAACUUCGGGAAACCGGAGCUAAUACCGGAUAAUAUAUUGAACCGCAUGGUUCAAUAGUGAAAGACGGUUUUGCUGUCACUUAUAGAUGGAUCCGCGCCGCAUUAGCUAGUUGGUAAGGUAACGGCUUACCAAGGCAACGAUGCGUAGCCGACCUGUGAGGGUGAUCGGCCACACUGGCACUGAGACACGGUCCAGACUCCUACGGGAGGCAGCAGUAGGGAAUCUUCCGCAAUGGGCGAAAGCCUGACGGAGCAACGCCGCGUGAGUGAUGAAGGUCUUCGGAUCGUAAAACUCUGUUAUUAGGGAAGAACAAAUGUGUAAGUAACUAUGCACGUCUUGACGGUACCUAAUCAGAAAGCCACGGCUAACUACGUG
This 497-nucleotide ribosomal RNA is filed under the name uncultured bacterium. RNAcentral's name for it is "partial 16S ribosomal RNA". It matches the Rfam family "Bacterial small subunit ribosomal RNA", at positions 28 to 507 of the family's 1533-position model. The record is from RNAcentral.